UACGGAGGGUGCACGCGUUAUCCGGAUUCACUGGGUUUAAAGGGUGCGUAGGUGGGCAGGUAAGUCAGUGGUGAAAUCUCUGAGCUUAACUCAGAAACUGCCGUUGAUACUAUCUGUCUUGAAUAUAGUGGAGGUGAGCGGAAUAUGUCAUGUAGCGGUGAAAUGCUUAGAUAUGACAUAGAACACCCAUUGCGAAGGCAGCUCGCUACACUAUCAUUGACACUGAGGCACGAAAGCGUGGGGAUCAAACAGG
This 253-nucleotide ribosomal RNA is filed under the name uncultured bacterium. Its description in RNAcentral is "partial 16S ribosomal RNA". It matches the Rfam family "Bacterial small subunit ribosomal RNA", at positions 524 to 776 of the family's 1533-position model. The record is from RNAcentral.